Molecule: long non-coding RNA, 659 nt
Organism: Capra hircus (goat)
Lineage: Eukaryota; Metazoa; Chordata; Mammalia; Artiodactyla; Bovidae
Exons: 4
Source: RefSeq, a predicted model, not a curated record
UUGGCCCUGAGCUUGGUAAAAGAGCCAUCAUCACUGGCUACAGCAUCCCCAGGCCAGCCUCUAAGCCGGGCACUCCUGGGACUUGGGAUUCACUUCCAAAUCCCCCGGAAUGUCAGGGAGCCAGUGAAUGAACGAUGACGACUUCAACCCGACUCCUCGUCUCGGCUGGGCUGCCCUGCUCCUGCCACAUGGAGAUGCUGCUGGGGAAGCGUUCCCUGCAGAAGAAGGCCUCCUUGUUCUCACUUGGGACGGUGCCCUCGCUCCGCUUUUAGCCCAGACGGCAGAGGCACCCCACCCUCAGCUUCAGAGGGACUCUCAAGAGGCUUCUCCAACACCACAGUUGGAAAGUGGCUCUGGCCAAGCUCAAAUGUGGAGAGGGCCUGGGCUAAUCGAGAUGCCCCCUCAGGUUACACGGAGACAGCUGCAUCCCAGGCAGACAGAGCACAGAUGAAGGUGGAGGUUCAAAGUCUCACCAAUAUUUUUCAAACCCAUUGCACACUUUUCUACUUAUCCAUUCAUCACAUACAAAAUUCUUGCUCCCCGCCAAAUAAAUUAAUUGAAAAGUUUUGUUUGGCUGCUUGAGGAAAAGAACUGAGAUCCGCCCUUUGUUUUCUGUUUCAUAUUUUCUGGAUAAUGAAUGAGUCAAACGAUGAAUAAAA